This 6614-nucleotide long non-coding RNA is filed under the name Homo sapiens (human). Its description in RNAcentral is "HSALNT0119000". Lineage: Eukaryota; Metazoa; Chordata; Mammalia; Primates; Hominidae. The record is from RNAcentral.
GCCUGUAGUCCCAGCUACUCGGGAGGCUGAGGUGGAAGAAUGGCAUGAACCUGGGAGGUGGAGCUUGCAGUGAGCCAAGAUCGUGCCACUGCACUCCAGCCUGGAUGACAGAGCGAGACUCCGUCUCAAAAAAAGAAAAAAUUAAUAGUAUCAUAACUAUAUCCCACAUCUUUAUGAAAUAAGCUGGUUUCCCUCAGAGCCACCAGUGCUGCUGUGUCAUAAAAUCUGAUAGAUACUGCCCUUAUCAUUAUUUCUGAAAACACCACAAACUUAUUUCAGUUAUACAAUCUAUGUGACUUGUGUUUUUAUCUCAAGGGUAAUCUCCCUUACUUAAAAUCUGACACAUUUUUAAUUAAUUUAUUUGUUUCUACAUUCAUUCAAAACAUACCAAGAUUUUUAUAUUGCCAGGUUCUUUAUAAAUGCUGCAAAUAUGACAUGAAUAGAGUAAAGAGGUCCUUUGCCUCAUGAGAUGAUAAAUCUAUUUUCUAGAAAUGACAAAUUUUUAACAAGUAAUUCUAUGUGUGAUAAAUGCAAUAACCAAGAGUGCUCUAAGUGCUUUGCAAGCAAAAGUUAAGAAGUCAAAUUUGGUCUUGAAUUUUAUAUUGAGGAUAUUUAUUCCUAUUUAAUUAGAUAAGGAACACUGAAGAAAGAAGAGGUUGCCUUAAAGAUAGCAGUCAGGAUUGGCUACCUAAGAGGGCCAGUAGAAGAUAAAAAUCAGAGCUCCUUAUACAAAAAUUAUUAUGAAUUUUAAGACUGCAAUAGCAGAUCAUUAAACCAAGUGUGUGAUCCCCAAAACGUGAGGUCCUGUGCGACUGCACAUGUCACAUGCCAUGAAGUCAGCCCUCACGCCUAUGAAGCAUCCAGGAAUAUAUGUCAAGCAGGCAGUAGAGUAUACCAGUCUGGAGCUCAAGAGAAAUAUUUUGUUAUAGACAUUUGCAAGUUGUGACAGAUUAAAGAUAGCCAUAAAUUGUCACUCUAAAAAAUCAAGAAAUGGAGUUUAUUUAUCUUCCUCCUUGAAUGUUAGCUGGCCCUAUGAUGGUUUAAUCAAUACAGUGAUGUAAAAGUGAUGUUGUGGUAGUUCUAGGCCCAGCCUUUAAAAGCACUGCUGCUUCUCUCUUGAAAUGCUCACACUUGGGACACUUUCCUCCAGAACCCAGAGGCUAAAUGGAUGUUCACUUUUAGAUGACAGCCCCAGCUGUCCCAGCGAAUAGGCAGCAUCAAGUAUCAGCCAUUUGAGUGAACCAUUUAGAUGUUCCAGUGCAAUUGAGCAGAAGAACCACCCAGCUGAACCUAGUCAAUCCACAGAACCAUGAGAGAUAAUGAAAUGGUUGUUGUUUUAGGCCAUGAAUUUUGCAGUAAUACACAGCAAUAAUAACCAAAACAGAAAUUAGUGAGGUGCUGAAACAACAAAAAGCUAAAACAUUUGGCAUUGGCUUUGGACCUAGAAAGCAGAUAGAAGGUAGUCCAAAGCAGACUGCUAGUGAAAAAUGGAAUGAUAGGGAGAAAAAUGUUUUUGAUGCUGGAAAGGAGGAAGAGGGCUUAUGUUUUUUGUGGACACAAAAAACAGAAAAUAAAGCAAAUGAAAAUUUUUUUUAUUUUAUUGAGCAGCAGAAUAGUGAAAGUGCCAACUGUUUUUCCUGAAUAAAAUAAGGUAUAUGUAGAGAGAGGAACUUAAAAAAAUAGCUUUCAAACAGGAUCUAGAGGGAGUAUUUCUUAACCAAGACUUGUUGGGAAUUUUUCUUAUUCCCAGUCUCCCUCAACAAAAGUCUCUCAAAGUAAGAAAUUACUUUAGGACAAAGAUCAAAUCCAAGGCACUGUCAGUAAAUGUGCAGUUUCAAAGUCAAGAUCUCAGAUAUGUGGCUAUAAGAACUUUUUGUUAAAAACUCAGAAGGAUUUGACAUUUGUAAAAAACUCAGGUGUGCCUCUUUGAAACUUUCUUCUAGACAAUGAGGCUUCUAUAACUCUCUGUUCAAAGUAGGGAAAGGCCUUUUAUAAAGAAACUUUGGUGUCGCUUUUGUCCAGGAAAAUGGCUUAUAUUUUUAUACUCAGGAAAACCACAAAGUAUCUAUAGGAAGUGUACCAAUUUGUACUAAACAAACAAAGAAAAACAGUGACAGUUCAAAAAUUAAGAGAUCUUUGAGACACUCAAUUUUCAACAAAAAGAACACAGCCUGAGAAAGUCACUCAGCUACACAUGUGGGCUGUUUCUUAGGGAAAAGAGAGACAUAUGGAAGAGCCAGAAGCCCAGAGGAAAAAGCUAAGAGGCAGAGAGAAUCAACCCAAGAAAGCUGGAGGAAACCCUAACCAAGGAACCCACAUCUGCUCACCUAAAUUUCAGGAUGUUUAUGAACCAGUGGCUGCUAUUUGCCACUGUACUUUUGGAAUGCGUGUCUAUCAAAUUCUAUUGUCCUUGUCUCACUAUUACAUACUGAGUUUGUGGGGGCCAGAUAACUUGUUUUCUAGUUCAUAGCUCUUCAUCUCAAGAGUAGCCUGAGGUGCCUUAUUCACACCUGGAUCUGAUUUAGAUAAUGGAAUGCUGAACAUUGAACCUAAUUCAGUCACAAAUUGAGACUUUGAGGGUCAUGGGGAAUGGUCAGGGUAUUUUGCAUGUAGAAUGAAUUUAAAUAAUUUAUGACUGAGGGAUCACUGUUGUGGGCUAAAAAUGACCAAACACGUUUUAUUACUCUUUCCAUCAACAUGUGGCAUUUAUUUUCAUUCCCUCUUGAAUCUGGGUUGGCCCUGUGACAGCUUAAAUAGAAUGUGGUGGAAGUGAUGAUAUACCAGUUACAGACACACUUUUUAAGAGGAUUGCAGCAUCCAGGUCCCCCUCUAAGGUUUCUCAUUCUUGGAACAAUUCUUGGAACUCACCCAUCAUACUGUGAGAAACCCAAGCCACAUGUAUAGGACACAUGUUGAUGAUCCAAUUGACAGUCUCAAGCGAACUCUUUGCCAAUAACCAGCAUCAAAUGCUGCCAGGUAAAUGGGAAAUCUUGGCUGUCCCAGCACAAUUGAGCCCAUAGAUGAUGCAGCCAAAUCCAAUUUAUAAGAAACAAGCAACCCCAUUUAGUCCAGUCAACACUAAAAAUAGCGUGAAAUAAUGAAAUAGUUAAGCCAGUAACUUUUGGAGUGGUUUGUUAUAAAAUAAUAGAUAAUUAAAAUAGGAGUCAGCUGUGUAUAGAGGUUAAUGAAGCCAUGAGAUGGUUAAGACAAUCAAUAUGUGACAUGAAAGAAAAAAGGCUAUCUUAGUCUGUUUUCUGUUACCUGAAUUCCAUAAACUGAGUAAUUUAUAAAGAAAAUAAAUGUAUUUAUUUCUUACAGUUCUAGAGGCUGAUAAGUCCAAGCAUAUGGUGCCAGCAUCUGGUGAGGCCUUCUUGCUGUGUAAUCUCAUGGCAGAAGAGUGGAAGGACAAGUGAGCACAUGCAAAAGGGAUUGUACAAGAAACCUUCAAAAAAGGAGAUGCAUCCUUCCUUGUUCCUGGCAGUCUUGCAUUUGAGGAAAUCAGUAUGCUCCAACUUAGGUGAGUUAGGCCACUGGCCAAUUUUUUUUUUUUUCUGUAGCCCUCCUCUACUCUGAGUUCCUAAUUCCACUUGUUCUGAAUUUUUUUUGGUGACGCAUUGUCUCCAUUAUUGAACUUAGUCCUUUCAAAAAUUAGCAAAGCUGGGAAUUUUCAUCCUAUUCUUUUCCUACUUUCAGAACUUUGAACUUUGAAUUUUCAGGAAGCCAUGAAGAAUGGAGUAAGAUUCUAGGACCAGUUAACAAGAACAUGUAAAAUAAUUUGUUUGUAAAAUAAUCUUAUGAGGCUAAAGCACAAGCCAGAGCAGAUUUUUUUCAAAAUGCAUAAGCAACACUUGUUCAAUUCCACCUGCUGCAGUUAAAGAAAAGUAAGCAAAAGGGAACACUGACAAAGUAAUUAUUUCUAGCUAUCAAAUGUCCAUUCAUUGAUUUCUAGCCAAAGCAGAGAGAAUCAGGAAGUUUCUAUAAAGGGCAAUGAGUUUCCACAAUACAGAAUGUCUGUGUUGGCUCAACUCCUACCAGUUACCAAACUCCCUAAUCAUCCUCAAUACUUUCACAAUAAGUGCAAAUGCUUUCAAAGUUUAAAUAGAUGCAUCAAAAAAUAUGUGCCAGAUAGCAAUAUUUGAACACUUUUCACUAAGUGCUAAAAGAUUUUAGUUUUGUAUACUAACUGUUAACAUGGAUUAAAACCAACAAAUAAAAACACAAUUGCAAUGCUACUUGUGCUACUGGCCAACUUAGCACCAAAUCACUAAUAACAAUAAAAUUUUUCAAAAUCUUAAUCAAAAUUUCCCCAAAUUAAAAGAAAGCCAAUCAAUCUACAAAUUGUAAAGACUGUAAAAUUAGAUCAAUUAAACUCAACUGGGGAGAGAUUUUAUUUUCCAAGGCACAUUUGGCAGUAUCUAAAGACAUUUUUGUUUGUCACAAAUGAAGGAGGGGGUGCUACCGGUGUCUAGUGGGUAGAGAACAGGGAUGCUGCGAAACAUCCUCUUAUACCUAGGCCAGCCCCCUACAACAAAAAAUUAUUGGCAUAAAGUGUCAAUGGUGCCAGAUUUUAGAAAUCCUGAGUUGGAGUUACCAUAAAGUCCAAUUUAUUUUCCUUUAUUUACAGAGCACCCUCUGGUUUAUAACGAUAACAUCAUAGCAUCAGUAUGUAGGAAGAAAUGUAUUUUCUAAUCCAUUAUGGUUUUCAGGGAUGAAGAGAAUUAUUAUUGCUGUAUCUGAAAAUAAUACCACACCAUUAAGAAUGUAAGUGAAAAGGAAGUGUCUAAGGCACUGGAAUCUUUGUACAACUUAAUCGUUUAGAUAAAUUUGAAAUUUAAAAAUGCUUUAAAAUAGGGAUAAACUCUCCAAGAUUCUGAGUUUACAAAAAAAUUUCCAGUGUUUUAAGCAAUUACUUUUCUUAUGUAAAUCCCAGAUAAGAUGUAGAGGUACUUAUCAACAAACUGACUCCAGAUUUCUAUCAAUGAGCCUAAUAAUAUUAUAAUGAUAGUUUAAAUACUAGGCUGAAGGACAUUAAUAAUGGAGAUUAAAGUAAAAGAUGUAUAUUUAAAUUAAUUCAGUUAAAUUUUGUUAAUUGAUACUCAUUUCCAUUAAUUCUGUUUUUGCAACCUUUCAGACUUAUCUUUUAGUCUCCAGAGGCAGAAAAAAAGCAGAAAAGGUUGUUGAAAUUCUUCACAUUGAUUUCAGGGCAAUGAUCUCAAACGGCGCAGUGGGAACCCGCAAAUUUAAGAGGGUAGUUUCCCUGCACAAGCCCUUUUUUUGCCUGCUGCCAUCCGUGUAAGAUGUGACUUGCUCCUCCUUGUCUUCUACCAUGAUUGUGAGGCCUCCCCAGUUAUGUGGAACUCAAAGCUAGAGGAAACCAAAGUCAUAGAACAUCUGAACUCUGUCCAAACAUCGGUCGUAUUUCAAAAUUUCAGAGCCUCAGACUUCCAUGAUAAUAUCUGCCUAGUCUUUAGAAGAGUGUAUGGAAGUGUUCAAGAACCUUUCCUGAAACAACUUCUAUUACAGACACUGCUUCUUCAUGGUUAUUCCAUCAGAUUGCAAUCACUUAUAUGUUUUUUUCCACUCUUCCUUAUAUUAUGAGCACUUUUCACGUAGGGGUUCAUCUCUUUAAUAAUCAUAGCUCCCAACACAAUUGUAGGCUUAUAUUAGAUGCUCGAUAAAGAUGAGUUGAGUUAACAUGUAAAGUAAUGAAUGAGUAAGGAAAAAUAGAAUAGUUUCGAAUUAAUGCAUGUUACUGCUACUGUAAAUUUAAUGUUUUCAUUUCUAUUACUAUUUAUAUAUAAAUUUAAUUAAUUGUUAACUUUCUUUGCCAUCCAUACAUCUAUUUAUCUGCUCAUUUGAAAAUCUCUUUCCUGUUUCCUAUUAUUCAAAAUAUUAAAAGCAAAUAUUACUUAAAUAUUUAAAUCACUCUUUUUCCAUGUUAAGUUUCUCAGGAUGCAGAAUGUUGCUGUACACUGAGAAAUAUUAGGCGAUACAAAAUGGCUACUAUAACGUAAUGUUCUAGAAAAUGAUAAAAGUCAAACCCAUUGGUUUUUGCUGCCAACACAAGUUUGUCAAUGUAAUUAAUGCCCUUUAGCCUGGGAGGGUUGUAUGACAGGAAAAAUGGCAUCAAAGCCAUUUUUAUUUAAAAAAUAAAUUUAAUAUUACUUGAUAAUAAGGGAGCUAUAUAAGCAAAAAUCUUAGAAUUUUCUUUUUCUUUUUUUUCCUUAGUUUCACAUCUUUCUACAUAGUAUCCAAAUCCCAGUUGUUGAUACUAAUUUUCUUGCCUUCUUACCCUUAACAAGUUUGGAGACAAAGUUAAUAUCAUUAGUAGUAUGUAAACUAAUUCCUAAAGCAAAAGUCUCUAAAAGUGUGAUCCAUGUCCCAUUUUUUAUUGGUCUGCAAUGAGGUAAGCACAGAAAUUUUAAUCACCUCCACGCAUACCUUCAAUGAGCAACAUGUACAGUUUUUUGAGACUCUUCUCUCUUUUCCUGUUAUUUUCUGAUUGCAUUUAUAAAAAUGCAAUUUUGUGUUUGUUGAAUCUGAUGAUAAAAAAUGAGGAAACACCGCAUAUUCUCACUCAUAGGUGGGAAUUGAACAAUGAGAUCACAUGGACA